This is a non-coding RNA of Pantherophis guttatus, 825 nucleotides long. The record is from RefSeq and is a predicted model, not a curated record. Lineage: Eukaryota; Metazoa; Chordata; Lepidosauria; Squamata; Colubridae.
AACCUUGAAUGGAACUCCAGCUGGUAUACUUGACAGUGUUUUGAAAGACAAAGUAAUGAAUUUACAUGUACAUUCAGAGCUGGCCUCUAUUAUUAGAUGCACUUGCCAAGAUGUUAGAAUCAGAAAUUAGAGACAUAUUUUGUACAAAGCAUUUCAUAUUCAUUUAUUUACUCAUUAAAUCAAACACUGGACAUGAAUCAAUGAAUACCACCUAAAGGCUGCUGGAUAGAUUUUCCAGACAACUUCCAAAUCAAAUGCUUCAAUAUAAAGCAUUGAUCCAGUAUACUGAAGCCUGUCCUAAAUCCAGCAAAUCUGUAUGCAAAUUUAAUUCUUUCCAUGACAGAAGAUUUUGCAUUUAUUUUGCAGCCGUUAUUGCAACCUUCAAAUGAAUUAAAGCAUAAUUAGCUGAUUUGUUUUAUCCUCUUCUUGUAUAUGAAAAACAAUAUUAUUCAUUCAUCAUUGAGGGAUCUACUUCAUGAAACUGAUUAAGAAAAGAGACGAUCAAUUUGCUAUCACUGCAGUCAUUCUUUAUUGAACUUAAAAGAUGCAACCAUCUGGAACUUAUUCCAGGAUUUGACUUCAGUUACUUUACUGCUUAACAGUGACCCACAGAGAACUUUAACCAUGUUAUUCUCCCCUUUUUAAUGUGCAAAUCAUAGAAAAUAGCCAGCAAAAAUAAUCAGAACAAUGCAGUAGACAGUGUUGUGCUGCAAGAAUUAAGUGAUAUUAAAUAAACUGUUUUAAAAAAAAUAUUCUCCAAAUCAUUUCACAAGGCUAGAAGAAAUUGCAGCUCAACCACAGGAAGAAUUUGUAAUGUGAAUUUAA